This 112-nucleotide unclassified non-coding RNA is filed under the name Chryseobacterium soldanellicola. Its description in RNAcentral is "Flavo-1 RNA". Lineage: Bacteria; Pseudomonadati; Bacteroidota; Flavobacteriia; Flavobacteriales; Weeksellaceae. The record is from RNAcentral.
CCCUAGCCCUGAUCGGAGCAUUUGUUUGAGCUCAUUUUCUGGGUUUCUGCGCGGCGGCUUUGCCGCCGCGCAGAAACCCAGAAAAUAGCGAGUGCGGAGAGCAGGAAAAAGC